This 26-nucleotide non-coding RNA is filed under the name Mus musculus (house mouse). Lineage: Eukaryota; Metazoa; Chordata; Mammalia; Rodentia; Muridae. The record is from RNAcentral.
UUGGAGAAGCGAGCAAUGGAUCACCU